UGGGUCGACAUAGACUGGUCAUAUGCUGUC
Molecule: non-coding RNA, 30 nt
Filed under: Mus musculus (house mouse)
Lineage: Eukaryota; Metazoa; Chordata; Mammalia; Rodentia; Muridae
Source: RNAcentral